UUACGGGGCGCAGCAGUGAGGAAUAUUGCACAAUGGGGGGAACCCUGAUGCAGCAACGCCGCGUGGAGGAUGACGCAUUUCGGUGUGUAAACUCCUUUUAUAUGUCAAGAAAAUGACGGUAGCAUAUGAAUAAGCACCGGCUAACUCCGUGCCAGCAGCCGCGGUAAUACGGAGGGCGCAAGCGUUACUCGGAAUCACUGGGCGUAAAGGACGCGUAGGCGGGUUGGAAAGUCAGGUGUGAAAUCCUACAGCUUAACUGUAGAACUGCACUUGAAACUUCUAAUCUAGAGUAUGGGAGGGGGAGAUGGAAUUAGUGGUGUAGGGGUAAAAUCCGUAGAUAUCACUAGGAAUACCUAAAGCGAAGGCGAUCUCCUGGAACAUUACUGACGCUAAGGCGUGAAAGCGUGGGGAGCAAACAGGAUUAGAUACCCUUGUAGUC
RNAcentral lists this ribosomal RNA (439 nucleotides) under uncultured bacterium. RNAcentral's name for it is "partial 16S ribosomal RNA". It matches the Rfam family "Bacterial small subunit ribosomal RNA", at positions 339 to 795 of the family's 1533-position model. The record is from RNAcentral.